UGCCAUAGAAAAGUAUUUGUUAAAUAACUUCUAAAAUGUUUGUCUGAUGGCAUAAAAAUUGUCAGAAAUCAUAAGCAGAGAAGAUAUUAUUGUAUGUUUCUUUAGCUUUCAAAGCACGCUUGCUGUUUGGCUAUAUCGUCUUUGCCGUUAACGCUAAUCAUAAAUAUAUACACUAUACUUUAUGGAAGCAUAAAUUUAUACCCUUCUACCCAACGGGUAGUGGAUAUAAAAACGAAAGUCUCAUUCCUUAACUACUGAUAUUAUUCAACUUUACGUUCAAGGAAAACAAGAUACAAGCGAGCAAUUUAUGCACAUGUAAAGUAAAGUAAAAAAUAAAGUAAUUACGUACUUAAAAUACAAAA
This is a long non-coding RNA of Drosophila albomicans, 362 nucleotides long. RefSeq lists it as uncharacterized. The transcript has 2 exons. NCBI's taxonomy places the organism in Eukaryota, Metazoa, Arthropoda, Insecta, Diptera, Drosophilidae. The record is from RefSeq and is a predicted model, not a curated record.